CCCUUAGAUGUUCUGGGCAGCACGCGCGCUACAAUGGUCUUCGCAAACGGAUGCAUUCUCGAAGGAGGAUGCCAAUCUUGGAAUCUAUGCCUUGGUCGGGACAGUUGCUUGCAAUUUUUCGACUCGAACCAGGAAUUCCUUGUAAUCGUGAUUCAUCACAUCACGAUGAAUACGUCCCUGCCCUUUGUACACACCGCCCGUCGCCCCUACCGAUCGAAGAGUUAGGUGAAUUGUUUUGAUCGAUAAGAUUUGACUAUGGUCAACUCUCGUUGUGAAAUUCUGUGAAUCUGACUGUUUAGAGGAAGGAAAAGUCGUAACA
RNAcentral lists this ribosomal RNA (319 nucleotides) under uncultured eukaryote. Its description in RNAcentral is "partial 18S ribosomal RNA". It matches the Rfam family "Eukaryotic small subunit ribosomal RNA", at positions 1470 to 1796 of the family's 1831-position model. The record is from RNAcentral.